Molecule: ribosomal RNA, 389 nt
Filed under: uncultured bacterium
Lineage: Bacteria
Description: bacterial SSU rRNA
Rfam family: Bacterial small subunit ribosomal RNA
Source: RNAcentral
GACGAACGCUGGCGGCGUGCUUAACACAUGCAAGUCGAGCGGUAAGGCCCUUUCGGGGGUACACGAGCGGCGAACGGGUGAGUAACACGUGGGUGACCUGCCCUCAGCUCUGGGAUAAGCCUGGGAAACCGGGUCUAAUACUGGAUAUGACUCCAUGACGCAUGUUGUGGGGUGGAAAGCCUUGUGCGGCUGAGGAUGGGCCCGCGGCCUAUCAGCUUGUUGGUGGGGUGANGGCCUACCAAGGCGACGACGGGUAGCCGGCCUGAGAGGGCGACCGGCCACACUGGGACUGAGACACGGCCCAGACUCCUACGGGAGGCAGCAGUGGGGAAUCUUGCGCAAUGGGCGAAAGCCUGACGCAGCGACGUCGCGUGAGGGAUGACGGGCCU